This 472-nucleotide ribosomal RNA is filed under the name uncultured organism. Its description in RNAcentral is "partial 16S ribosomal RNA". It matches the Rfam family "Bacterial small subunit ribosomal RNA", at positions 333 to 797 of the family's 1533-position model. The record is from RNAcentral.
ACACUCCUGCGGGAGGCAGCAGUGGGGAAUAUUGCACAAUGGGCGCAAGCCUGAUGCAGCCAUGCCGCGUGUAUGAAGAAGGCCUUCGGGUUGUAAAGUACUUUCAGCGGGGAGGAAGGCGAUAAGGUUAAUAACCUUGUCGAUUGACGUUACCCGCAGAAGAAGCACCGGCUAACUCCGUGCCAGCAGCCGCGGUAAUACGGAGGGUGCAAGCGUUAAUCGGAAUUACUGGGCGUAAAGCGCACGCAGGCGGUCUGUCAAGUCGGAUGUGAAAUCCCCGGGCUCAACCUGGGAACUGCAUUCGAAACUGGCAGGCUAGAGUCUUGUAGAGGGGGGUAGAAUUCCAGGUGGAGCGGUGAAAUGCGUAGAGAUCUGGAGGAAUACCGGUGGCGAAGGCGGCCCCCUGGACAAAGACUGACGCUCAGGUGCGAAAGCGUGGGGAGCAAACAGGAUUAGAAACCCGUGUAGUCCC